CAGGCUUAACACAUGCAAGUCGAGGGGCAGCAUGGUCUUAGCUUGCUAAGGCCGAUGGCGACCGGCGCACGGGUGAGUAACACGUAUCCAACCUGCCGUCUACUCUUGGACAGCCUUCUGAAAGGAAGAUUAAUACAAGAUGGCAUCAUGAGUCCGCAUGUUCACAUGAUUAAAGGUAUUCCGGUAGACGAUGGGGAUGCGUUCCAUUAGAUAGUAGGCGGGGUAACGGCCCACCUAGUCUUCGAUGGAUAGGGGUUCUGAGAGGAAGGUCCCCCACAUUGGAACUGAGACACGGUCCAAACUCCUACGGGAGGCAGCAGUGAGGAAUAUUGGUCAAUGGGCGAGAGCCUGAACCAGCCAAGUAGCGUGAAGGAUGACUGCCCUAUGGGUUGUAAACUUCUUUUAUAAAGGAAUAAAGUCGGGUAUGGAUACCCGUUUGCAUGUACUUUAUGAAUAAGGAUCGGCUAACUCCGUGCCAGCAGCCGCGGUAAUACGGAGGAUCCGAGCGUUAUCCGGAUUUAUUGGGUUUAAAGGGAGCGUAGAUGGAUGUUUAAGUCAGUUGUGAAAGUUUGCGGCUCAACCGUAAAAUUGCAGUUGAUACUGGAUAUCUUGAGUGCAGUUGAGGCAGGCGGAAUUCGUGGUGUAGCGGUGAAAUGCUUAGAUAUCACGAAGAACUCCGAUUGCGAAGGCAGCCUGCUAAGCUGCAACUGACAUUGAGGCUCGAAAGUGUGGGUAUCAAACAGGAUUAGAUACCCUGGUAGUCCACACGGUAAACGAUGAAUACUCGCUGUUUGCGAUAUACCGCAAGCGGCCAAGCGAAAGCGUUAAGUAUUCCACCUGGGGAGUACGCCGGCAACGGUGAAACUCAAAGGAAUUGACGGGGGCCCGCACAAGCGGAGGAACAUGUGGUUUAAUUCGAUGAUACGCGAGGAACCUUACCCGGGCUUAAAUUGCAGAUGAAUUACGGUGAAAGCCGUAAGCCGCAAGGCAUCUGUGAAGGUGCUGCAUGGUUGUCGUCAGCUCGUGCCGUGAGGUGUCGGCUUAAGUGCCAUAACGAGCGCAACCCUUGUUGUCAGUUACUAACAGGUUCCGCUGAGGACUCUGACAAGACUGCCAUCGUAAGAUGUGAGGAAGGUGGGGAUGACGUCAAAUCAGCACGGCCCUUACGUCCGGGGCUACACACGUGUUACAAUGGGGGGUACAGAGGGCCGCUACCACGCGAGUGGAUGCCAAUCCCCAAAACCUCUCUCAGUUCGGACUGGAGUCUGCAACCCGACUCCACGAAGCUGGAUUCGCUAGUAAUCGCGCAUCAGCCACGGCGCGGUGAAUACGUUCCCGGGCCUUGUACACACCGCCCGUCAAGCCAUGGGGGCCGGGGGUACCUGAAGUGCGUAACCGCGAGGAGCGCCCUAGGGUAAAACUGGUGACUGGGG
Molecule: ribosomal RNA, 1433 nt
Filed under: uncultured bacterium
Lineage: Bacteria
Description: 16S ribosomal RNA
Rfam family: Bacterial small subunit ribosomal RNA
Source: RNAcentral